Molecule: ribosomal RNA, 505 nt
Filed under: uncultured bacterium
Lineage: Bacteria
Description: partial 16S ribosomal RNA
Rfam family: Bacterial small subunit ribosomal RNA
Source: RNAcentral
GACGAACGCUGGCGGCGUGCCUAAUACAUGCAAGUAGAACGCACAGUUUAUACCGUAGCUUGCUACACCAUAGACUGUGAGUUGCGAACGGGUGAGUAACGCGUAGGUAACCUGCCUGGUAGCGGGGGAUAACUAUUGGAAACGAUAGCUAAUACCGCAUAAUAUUAAUUAUUGCAUGAUAAUUAAUUGAAAGGUGCAAUUGCACCACUACCAGAUGGACCUGCGUUGUAUUAGCUAGUAGGUGAGGUAACGGCUCACCUAGGCGACGAUACAUAGCCGACCUGAGAGGGUGAUCGGCCACACUGGGACUGAGACACGGCCCAGACUCCUACGGGAGGCAGCAGUAGGGAAUCUUCGGCAACGGACGAAAGUCUGACCGAGCAACGCCGCGUGAGUGAAGAAGGUUUUCGGAUCGUAAAGCUCUGUUGUAAGAGAAGAACGGGUGUGAGAGUGGAAAGUUCACACUGUGACGGUAUCUUACCAGAAAGAGACGGCUAACUACGUG